UUAUGCAGGAAGGCAUUUUAGCGGAAAAUUAUAAUCCUGGCCAGGACGGUGGCUACUCGAUUUGCCUAUCUCUACAUGAUUGACAUCAUGUAACGUGAUUGGUAAACGGUGACCUUGAGGGACAAAUCCAGGUGAAUAGAGAUUGCUCAAGGAACAAUUAUUUGGACAGGUAUAUUGCCAACAGGAAGCAUUGAACACUAAAAAGAUUUUCAACGCGGUUUCCCCUCUUCCUGUGGAAAGUAAUGCCCUGUGAGAACUAGACUCAUUCCGGAGGGAAAAAGUCAUGGGUACGGAUACUGUGCACAGCCGAUGCUGCUUUCGCUUCCUUUAAAUAACUGAGACCAGACAUCCCUACAAUUAGGAAAAUGUAUGAAGAGAUAAAGCUGGUUCAGUGUUAAUGUUACAGUCUGUGCACAUGCAGUCAGUAAAUGUUGUGAUAUGUGUAAGUAUGUUACUUCCUGUGAAUUACCCCCAUAUUACUGUUAGUCACCCGGUUGUAAAGUUUUGUGCCUGGUUCUGACAUGGGGACACUGAGAACGUGAGCCUCUCUUGUCCCCUGUUUAUAUCCAAACCCAGCUCGACACACUCGGUUACCCCCUGUGCUCUUCAGCCUCCUCUGUCCCUGCUGGUCACAGAUUUACCCUCCUUUCUGCCUUCCCCUCUCUUAAGCUGUACUCAGCCCACACCCUCUGCCUCUACUUCCUUACGGUGUACAUUUUUUAACCCCUUGCAGUCUGACUUCCUUUUCCACCUCUCUACUGAAACGGUUCCUUGUAAAGAGCGCGUCUAACCCAGCCUGCAUACAGAGGCUCUGGGAUAGAACAGUGAGAAGACUGAUUGCAUUUAGCAGGGACUUAGGUGUGGGGUGAGCUUUACGUAAAGGGGGAUAUUCGGGAUACCAUGGGGACGUAUACCGAGGAGAUCUCAUUUAGUCGGGGCACAUAGAAGGCUUCUCAGGUAGAGAGAGAUUUGAGAUGAAGUUUGAGGGUGGAGUUAGGUGAGAGCUAGAGAAGGGAAGGGAGACGAGAGCCUUCCAAGUGAGAACAGCGAGUCGGAAGGACUGAAGCCGAGAGCCCACAGGUUCGCAAGGCUGCAGAGGCCUGUGUGCAGCAUGGUAAUGAGGCGCUCUUCUCUUUUUUUAUCCAGAUGCCCCCCUAGAAGUAUGCUGUGUAUUUCCCUCACACAUUUCGCCGCAAGUGUGGUCUUUCUCAAAAAUCCCCGUCCCUCCUCCUGCGUGAAUGAUUCAUCAAGAAUCUUGGCCUAAGUCUGCUGCUGUUUCAGGGAAAACAGACUCUGGGGAAUGACUUGGGAACACAAUCGGGACUGGUCCAGUGGCUUCGUUAGAAGGCAGCUCGGCGUGUGUGAGCUUCUGCUCGGAGCGAGACUCUGUUAAGGCAGAUGCAUGGACACUGAGAUAUCGGCAGAGGCCCCCGGGCUGCGUGCAGCGGGGCAUGGGCCUGAUGCUCCCCUCUGAAACCUGUUCCAGUGGCCAGGAACACACAAUAGAGGCUCUGAAGGGGACCCCCCAUGGCUACUGCAAUCACAAGGCACCUCCCUGUCUCCCCCGAGCCCCCCCAGGACACAGGGUCGUCCUGUGCUUGGGUUCCCACCUAACAUCCACCUUUCCGACAGGUGAAGACACUGGGGCAGAAGAGAUUUGCUUUGGUUAAACGUGACUCGAGCUGCAAGGAAAAACCCACCAUCCGUAAACUCAGUGCAUCACUUGGCCACCCUGCCCUGAAGCUGGGGAUCAAGAAUCUUACUAAAGUUGGAUGUAGUCACACGUCCUAAAAACUAGCUGCAGAAGGUGAUAACUGAAACAAUACAGAAAGGAAUACAGUAAGGACACCCAGAAUUCCUGAAGCCACCCGAGGACCCCGGACACCCUGAGAACAACCAAGUGGGAAGAGGGGAAGGCCUGGAUCCUCGGUAACAAACGCUUCUAAGUCACUGGCCUGACCAAACCGGGAAUUGUCCUCCUUUUGUCCUUUUAAUGUCAGGAAAAAAAAAAUCUUGAGUUUUAAGCUACUCUUUGUUGAGGUUUUUGUUUGCAGAAGCCCAAGCAACCAAAUGCUGCAGUUCUCACGACCCUGCCCCUUACCAGAGAGCCCAGGAUGCUUGUUUAAAGGAGAUCAUGGAAGAAAAGAGGAUUAAGUGGAAUUUACUGACAGCUCUGGACUAAAGGAGCCUCCAACAUAACAGGACAGAGACGCAUCUAUAAGGGGGACAGAAAGCAGCGACAGCGGAAGUGGAGGGAGGCGACGUCUGGAAGACACAGCUGGCGUGCCUGCAGCCCCCGGGGGUUCAAGACGACGCUGGAGUUUCUGGUGUGCGUGGCUUGCAGGGCUACGGAUGCAGUUCCGGGAUCCCCUCCUUCCCGGGGCACGCAAGCCCACGUCUCUUCCUCGUCACCUCUUAAUGGCCAUUUUCUGUCUCUCUGCGUGGGCGCAUUCAGCAGUUAUGGACUGCCGCUCCCUGCUUUUCUCUCACCUCAAGGUUUGCUCAUCCAGCCGUGUUAACAGGCGCCGUGCUGCGCUUUUUCCAGGUGACGUCUUUGUUCAGCAGUGUAGCCGAGGUGGAGAUUAAGUCUUAGCAAUACGCCCACCUUUAGGUGGGGGGUCUGUCGCUGUAAAAGCAACCGGAAAGCAUCUUGGGGGAGGGGUGGGCUUCCAGACCUUUCCAUAUUGCCUCAUAGCAUUUUGGGAAUUAUCUUAGGUAUC
This is a long non-coding RNA of Balaenoptera acutorostrata (minke whale), 2720 nucleotides long. RefSeq lists it as uncharacterized. The record is from RefSeq and is a predicted model, not a curated record. The transcript is spliced from 7 exons. NCBI's taxonomy places the organism in Eukaryota, Metazoa, Chordata, Mammalia, Artiodactyla, Balaenopteridae.